UACGGAGGGUGCAAGCGUUAUCCGGAUUCACUGGGUUUAAAGGGUGCGUAGGUGGGUUUGUAAGUCAGUGGUGAAAUCUCCAAGCUUAACUUGGAAACUGCCGUUGAUACUAUAAAUCUUGAAUAUUGUGGAGGUGAGCGGAAUAUGUCAUGUAGCGGUGAAAUGCUUAGAUAUGACAUAGAACACCAAUUGCGAAGGCAGCUCACUACACAAAGAUUGACACUGAGGCACGAAAGCGUGGGGAUCAAACAGG
This 253-nucleotide ribosomal RNA is filed under the name uncultured bacterium. RNAcentral describes it as "partial 16S ribosomal RNA". It matches the Rfam family "Bacterial small subunit ribosomal RNA", at positions 524 to 776 of the family's 1533-position model. The record is from RNAcentral.